RNAcentral lists this long non-coding RNA (958 nucleotides) under Arachis ipaensis. Its description in RNAcentral is "long non-coding RNA (AIPA_LNC001751)". The record is from RNAcentral. Lineage: Eukaryota; Viridiplantae; Streptophyta; Magnoliopsida; Fabales; Fabaceae.
AAUUUUGAGGGAAGCUUGGUAAUAUUAUGUGAAGGCUGCACAAAAAAAUCCCGGUCAAAAAUCGCAGGUUUUCUCCGUUUUUCAUUUUUUUUGAAUUUCCGGCAUUCCGGGCGGUAAAAAAAUCGUCAAAAAAAAUCGGCACGGUGUAAAUUCACCAAAUUUGGAGGAUGGAAAGUUCUUAUUUUUCUAGAGGUUUUUGCAAAAAACGGCGUCAAAAUUCGUCCUCUAGAGCACUUUCCUUUAGUAUGUCUCCUCACGGAAAAGGACGUCUACCCGUGGCACUUUGGUAAUGGCUCGGCAGCCUAUUAUAGGGGGGAGGGGUGUCGUGAUGCUGAAACUCGAGUUGCCCAAAGGCUUGCUGGGCGCAAUGCCAGCAAGAUGCACGUUGCCUUGCCAUCCCCUAGGCACACUAGCAAGCACGUUGUGGUUGUGGUGUGCCGCCGGGCUCCCCUGCCCCCCACGGAGGCACCCGCCGUUGCAACGAUGGCUCGGAGCGUUGCAACGGAGGAGCCAAAUUUUCAUAUCUCAGAAUUGGCUCGUGCAUUUUUCGUGAAAUUUUGAGGGAACCUUGGUAAUAUUAUGUGAAGGCUGCACAAAAAAAUCCAGGUCAAAAAUCGCACGUUUGCUCCGUUUUUCAUUUUUUUUGAAUUUCUGGCUUUCCGGGCGGUAAAAAAAUCGGCAAAAAAAAUCGGCACGGUGUAAAUUCACCAAAUUUGGGGGAUGGAAAGAUCUUAUUUUUCUAGAGGUUGUUGCAAAAAACGGCGUCAAAAUUCGACCUCUAGAGCACUUUCCUUUAGUAUGUCUCCUCACGGAAAAGGACGUCUACCCGUGGCACUUUGGUAAUGGCUCGGCAGCCUAUUAUAGGGGUCACGCUGCUGACGCUGCUGAAACUCGAGUUGCCCAAAGGCUUGCUGGGCGCAAUGCCAGCAAGAUGCACGUUGCCUUGUCAUCCCCUAGG